AUUUUGAUCUCUACUCCAUACCUCUUCCUACUGAUCUUUUUGUUUGUUUAUAUCUGCUCAUACAUAAACGCUAUUAAAUUUCCUCUUGACUUCCUUUUUACCUUCUAAUUCCAGCCAUUGACUGUGUUAUCAGAGGUUACUUUAUGCACUGAUAAAGGCAUUCUUUACAGCCAUCUGAAAUGCCUCCCUAAAACCAAGUUACAUUUUGACUUCAUACUUCUUGUACUUGAUCCUGCACUUAAUCGUGUGCUUAAAAGAUAGAAAACCAUCCUAAAGGGGAUAAAAAUUCCUGAUUUUCAGUCUACUUGCAUCCAUUUCUUGUACACAGGGUCUCUAUCUGGCAUGAUAUAUUACACUUCUCAGAAGGAAGCCAUUCUGUUUGAGGGCAGCUUUGAUAAUUUUCUACUGGUUUUUAUUCUGUGUUAAAACUGAACUAGGACCCUUCAAAUGUUCCUACAGAAGUGAAACUAUCGAAAAGGUAUUGACAGACCAGAAUGCCUUGAACCCUACUAAGCAUAUUAACUAUUUUCCCUCUAUGAUUCUAGCUGCUGACAUUAUGGAGCUAUUAUGUGACUCUGUGAAGUCACAGAAAAGAAGCAUGGUGAAUCACAAGGUAUUACUCAUUUUCAAAUGUGAUCUGGUAUGAGAACCAUCCUACCAAAACCCACCACUGCUGUUUAUAUAGAAAAUAUUGGUAACAUCCUUGCCACUACUCUUUGUCUAAGAAGGGAAGGGACCAGCUUUACCAGUUUUCCCAUGUGGUCUGUGAUGAAAGAAGAGUUCUUACUGAAACAAAUGUGACACCUGACUGCAGUGGUUGCCGUGAGAGAGAAAUUGUGUGGUCAGUAAGAUAACUCCUUGCCUCAUUCAACCACUUAUGUCACUGGAAAUGCCUGCUAAACUGCCAUUUCUUGAGGGGAAGUGAAUAGUUGAGAAGGAAAAUGGCCAAGCUCAACAGCACAAAUUAUAUAAUUGCAGAACAUGUUAAAGAGAGAUUAUUGAGUGAAAUGGGCUGGAUGAUUUACUUCAAAUCUGCUCAGUAAAGAUUUUACACUGAGAAACAUGGGACAGUGCCAAGGUUAAUCACUUGCAUUGCUUGUCCAUAGCAAACACUCCCUGCGUAGACAUCUAUCUGCUCUUUAGAACAAAGAAACUAUAGAGUGUAAUCACAGAGGAAGAAUGAAAGAUCAAACCCUCUGUAUCAUAUAUUCAAUACAAAAAUAUAUUAUUUUACAUUGCCACAUGUCACUAAUGAAACCACGAAGUUAACACAGCAUAAGCAGAACAGCACACCAUCUCCUACAUGGAGUUUGCAUUUUAAAUCACUCUAGGGCAUGUCUUUAUAUGUAAUAAAAUUUGUAGAACCUAACUAAGAGGUGUUUUAUAAGUCAAAAGUGUUUCUGCAUGAUUACACUGCUUAUUAAAGAUGCAAAAGAUUGAACUGCUCUUCCAGAUUGUUUGAUUUCUUUAAGACUAUUUGACAUAAUUCUUUAUGGCUGGUUUCAGGUUCGCCAGGGAAAAUACAAUCAGCACUUUCAAAAGUUUCUUGAAUAAUAAAAUUUGGUACAAUGCCAGAGACUCCAUCUGGUCAAGAAGGGAAAUUAUAUUAGCUGGAUUCUAGACAGUGUUAGGGAAACAGAAGACUGAUGCAGCCAAUUUCACAGAGGCAUAUAUGUUAAUUCCAUUGUUUAUAGCAAUUGUCAAAUUCAGUCCUGGUUUAUGAAGACUUAAGCAUUUUUAAAAUUUAUUAAGUGCCUGCAACAGUUAAGGCAUAUUUUGCAGGUUAUCUUGUUGUCAGAAAAAAUGGUCAUAUUAGUCACAUUUCUGCAUAAU
This 1833-nucleotide long non-coding RNA is filed under the name Ficedula albicollis (Collared flycatcher). Its description in RNAcentral is "lncRNA (ENSFALG00000023714.1)". The record is from RNAcentral. Lineage: Eukaryota; Metazoa; Chordata; Aves; Passeriformes; Muscicapidae.